Molecule: small nucleolar RNA, 97 nt
Organism: Juglans microcarpa x Juglans regia
Lineage: Eukaryota; Viridiplantae; Streptophyta; Magnoliopsida; Fagales; Juglandaceae
Product: small nucleolar RNA Z43
Exons: 1
Source: RefSeq, a predicted model, not a curated record
GGACUGUGACGAUUUGUGUGAAAGGUCUCGUUCGUCGUAAUUGGCUCUUUGGGCCUUGCCGACCAUCCUGAUAUAUCACCACCCAUAUUCUGAGUCC